RNAcentral lists this ribosomal RNA (367 nucleotides) under uncultured bacterium. RNAcentral describes it as "bacterial SSU rRNA". It matches the Rfam family "Bacterial small subunit ribosomal RNA", at positions 131 to 493 of the family's 1533-position model. The record is from RNAcentral.
UGGUAGUGGGGGAUAACGUUCGGAAACGGACGCUAAUACCGCAUACGUCCUACGGGAGAAAGCAGGGGACCUUCGGGCCUUGCGCUAUCAGAUGAGCCUAGGUCGGAUUAGCUAGUUGGUGGGGUAAUGGCUCACCAAGGCGACGAUCCGUAACUGGUCUGAGAGGAUGAUCAGUCACACUGGAACUGAGACACGGUCCAGACUCCUACGGGAGGCAGCAGCGGGGAAUAUUGGACAAUGGGCGAAAGCCUGAUCCAGCCAUGCCGCGUGUGUGAAGAAGGUCUUCGGAUUGUAAAGCACUUUAAGUUGGGAGGAAGGGUUGUAGAUUAAUACUCUGCAAUUUUGACGUUACCGACAGAAUAAGCAC